GCGGCUGUGGCGAAACUGGCAGACGCGCUAUCUUCAGGCGGUAGUACUUCGGUAUGUGGGUUCGAAUCCCAUCAGCCGCACCA
This 83-nucleotide transfer RNA is filed under the name Tenericutes bacterium GWE2_38_8. RNAcentral describes it as "tRNA-Leu". It matches the Rfam family "tRNA". Rfam says of the family: Transfer RNA (tRNA) molecules are approximately 80 nucleotides in length. Their secondary structure includes four short double-helical elements and three loops (D, anti-codon, and T loops). Further hydrogen bonds mediate the characteristic L-shaped molecular structure. tRNAs have two regions of fundamental functional importance: the anti-codon, which is responsible for specific mRNA codon recognition, and the 3' end, to which the tRNAs corresponding amino acid is attached (by aminoacyl-tRNA synthetases). tRNAs cope with the degeneracy of the genetic code in two manners: having more than one tRNA (with a specific anti-codon) for a particular amino acid; and 'wobble' base-pairing, i.e. permitting non-standard base-pairing at the 3rd anti-codon position. Lineage: Bacteria; Bacillati; Mycoplasmatota. The record is from RNAcentral. RNAcentral also lists the same sequence under 1 other name.